GGGUUCCUAGCUCAAUUGGCAGAGCAGCGGCCUUUUAAGCCGCGGGUUCUGGGUUCGAGUCCCAGGGAACUCA
Molecule: transfer RNA, 73 nt
Filed under: Chloroflexota bacterium
Lineage: Bacteria; Bacillati; Chloroflexota
Description: Chloroflexi bacterium (anaerobic digester metagenome) tRNA-Lys
Rfam family: tRNA
About the family: Transfer RNA (tRNA) molecules are approximately 80 nucleotides in length.
Source: RNAcentral